GAUCAGCACGCCGCGGUGAAUACGUUCCCGGGUCUUGUACACACCGCCCGUCACACCAUGAGAGUUUGUAACACCCAAAGCCGGUGGGGUAACCUUCGGGAGCCAGCCGUCUAAGGUGGGACAGAUGAUUAGGGUGAAGUCGUAACAAGGUAGCCGUAGGAGAACCUGCGGCUGGAUCACCUCCUUU
Molecule: ribosomal RNA, 187 nt
Filed under: Weissella cibaria
Lineage: Bacteria; Bacillati; Bacillota; Bacilli; Lactobacillales; Lactobacillaceae
Description: partial 16S ribosomal RNA
Rfam family: Bacterial small subunit ribosomal RNA
Source: RNAcentral